Molecule: ribosomal RNA, 306 nt
Filed under: uncultured bacterium
Lineage: Bacteria
Description: partial 16S ribosomal RNA
Rfam family: Bacterial small subunit ribosomal RNA
Source: RNAcentral
GACAGCAGCAGCCGCGGUAAUACGGAGGGUGCAAGCGUUAAUCGGAAUUACUGGGCGUAAAGCGCACGCAGGCGGUCUGACAAGUCAGAUGUGAAAUCCCCGGGCUUAACCUGGGAACUGCAUUUGAAACUGUCAGGCUGGAGUCUUGUAGAGGGGGGUGGAAUUCCAGGUGUAGCGGUGAAAUGCGUAGAGAUCUGGAGGAAUACCGGUGGCGAAGGCGGCCCCCUGGACAAAGACUGACGCUCAGGUGCGAAAGCGUGGGGAGCAAACAGGAUUAGAUACCCGCGUAGUCCCUGUCUCUUAUAA